RNAcentral lists this ribosomal RNA (520 nucleotides) under uncultured bacterium. Its description in RNAcentral is "bacterial SSU rRNA". It matches the Rfam family "Archaeal small subunit ribosomal RNA", at positions 345 to 866 of the family's 1478-position model. The record is from RNAcentral.
AACCUCCGCAAUGUGAGAAAUCGCGACGGGGGGAUCCCAAGUGCCAUUCUUAACGGGAUGGCUUUUCAUUAGUGUAAAGAGCUUUUGGAAUAAGAGCUGGGCAAGACCGGUGCCAGCCGCCGCGGUAACACCGGCAGCUCUAGUGGUAGCAAUUUUUAUUGGGCCUAAAGCGUCCGUAGCCGGUUUAAUAAGUCUCUGGUGAAAUCCUGUAGCUUAACUGUGGGAAUUGCUGGAGAUACUAUUAGACUUGAGACCGGGAGAGGUUAGAGGUACUCCCAGGGUAGAGGUGAAAUUCUGUAAUCCUGGGAGGACCGCCUGUUGCGAAGGCGUCUAACUGGAACGGUUCUGACGGUGAGGGACGAAAGUUAGGGGCGCGAACCGGAUUAGAUACCCGGGUAGUCCUAACUGUAAACGAUGCGGACUUGGUGUUGGGGUGGCUUUGAGCUGUCUCAGUGCCGAAGGGAAGCUGUUAAGUCCGCCGCCUGGAAGUACGGUCGCAAGACUGAAACUUAAAGGAAUU